UUUCCGUAGGUGAACCUGCGGAAGGAUCAUUAUUGUAUAACCGAGGUGCGAGGGCUGUCGCUGACCCGAAAGGUCGUGCACGCCCGAGUGCCCUCACACACAUCCAUCUCACCCCUAAGUGCACCACCGCGUGGGUCCCCCCUUGGCUUGUUCGGAGGGGGGCUUACGUUUUCACACAAACUUUGUAAGCAGUGUAGAAUGUAUUUUUUGUUUUUGCGAUCACGCAAUCAAUACAACUUUCAACAACGGAUCUCUUGGCUCUC
RNAcentral lists this unclassified non-coding RNA (263 nucleotides) under plant metagenome. RNAcentral's name for it is "partial contains small subunit ribosomal RNA, internal transcribed spacer 1, and 5.8S ribosomal RNA". The record is from RNAcentral.